UACGUAGGGUCCGAGCGUUGUCCGGAGUUACUGGGCGUAAAGCGCGCGCAGGCGGCUCGUCAAGCAUGGCGUGAAAGCCCCCGGCUCAACCGGGGAGGGUCGUCGUGGACUGGCGAGCUUGAGGGCGGUAGGGGCUGGUGGAAUUCCCGGUGUAGUGGUGAAAUGCGUAGAGAUCGGGAGGAACACCCGUGGCGAAGGCGGCCAGCUGGGCCGUCCCUGACGCUGAGGCGCGAAGGCGUGGGGAGCGAACGGG
RNAcentral lists this ribosomal RNA (253 nucleotides) under uncultured bacterium. RNAcentral's name for it is "partial 16S ribosomal RNA". It matches the Rfam family "Bacterial small subunit ribosomal RNA", at positions 524 to 776 of the family's 1533-position model. The record is from RNAcentral.